RNAcentral lists this long non-coding RNA (6151 nucleotides) under Homo sapiens (human). RNAcentral describes it as "non-protein coding ATP6V0E2-AS1:1". Lineage: Eukaryota; Metazoa; Chordata; Mammalia; Primates; Hominidae. The record is from RNAcentral.
GCCGGCCCCGGUUCCAGUACCAGGCGCGGAGCGAUGGUGACAAGGAGGACGUAUUGCCAUCAGAGAGUCAGCAAAGGUAGUUGACCAAGCCCAAAGGAGAGUGUUGAGGGGAGUUGAUGACCUUGACUUUUUCAUAGGAGAUGAAGCCAUCGAUAAACCUACAUAUGCUACAAAGUGGCCGAUACGACAUGGAAUCAUUGAAGACUGGGAUCUUAUGGAAAGGUUCAUGGAGCAAGUGGUUUUUAAAUAUCUUCGAGCUGAACCUGAGGACCAUUAUUUUUUAAUGGCCAUCCAGGACAUGUGCAAGCCAGCGACACUAUGGGCAGCUCUGGGAGCCAGUUUAUAUACCAACUCCUGAUGGUACGUCCAGCCUGCUGCCCAGGAAGGAAGCCAGUGCUGGCACCUGGAAGGCGCCUGGCGUGUAUGGGAGCACCAAGAGCAUGGGGAGAUGCACUGCAGCAGGCAGCACAGACCUACAGUCUGUUAUCACAGUCUCGCUCUCUGUAAUAAGCAGGUUAAUAAGGACUCUGGUCAUCUGCCCUCAUCUUCCAGUGCUACAAGUCAAGCAAAACUGUGGUGCCUGCCAGCUGAUUUCAUUCCCGGAAGCCCAAAGCUUUACCAGCAGGUCACUUCCAGCACACAGAUAAGGAGAUUAGCCACGCCUCUCACUUCACCUCCAGCUCCUCACUGUUCCAGAAUUACCAACUAUCCUAUUUCUGUUCAAAGCAGCCAAAAUUAACUGAGGGCUGCUCUUUGAGGGCUUCUGCAGGGAGCGUGGACCCUAUGGCCAGCAGGAGCAGCACCUCCCUCCCUCCCUCCCUCCACUAAAAACCUGUGGCGUCCCUGUUACAGAAUGGAAUGUGCUAGAUCUCUCAGGGAUGCUGAGGUACGAAACAGUUCGGGAAGACAGAACCAGAAGACGGUUCGGGAAGCCUGGGAUCAGAGUGGAGAACGACAGAGCUCUUCAGCAUGGUCCUUUGGUUUCCGAAGCAGUGCCUGGCACCUCAUGAUGGCUCAAUGCUCGUCAUUCAUUGCCACUAUGAAAUAUUCCUGAAGGGCGUUUCCUCCAGGCUGUGGUACUGUCUGGAGAAUUAUCGUGGCUCCCUGCUCAAGCCUAUGACUCUAGGGCCACCAUCUCUGACCUCGGCACCAUCCACCCCCAGCAAUGCGCAGAUUGGACGAGGGCUCGCUAGAGACUUCAUCCUGCACGCAGGCGCUGCCCUCUGUUGGCCAUACUCUUUGUGUGCAGCUUAACUUUUCUUGGUUACCUUUACUUUUUUUUCUCAGUGGCUUUGUCCUCUGUCUCAGCGUGGCCUCCAAGGCCACUUCCUGCUCUGCCACUUGGUAUGGUUCAGGGCUGCCCUGCUCUCAGUCACGGCCCAUUUUUAGAGCUUUUUUGCAUCGUGUAGGUCCGUGAGCAUCUGUGUCAGAGGCUGAUAUUUACUGAUGUGCCUCCCACAUUGGGGAUGGUGUUGGGGGCACGGGUGGGGUUUGAAACUGAUAACUCUAACAGAAGUUGGGUACAUAGUGACUGUGUCCAAACCCCUGCACCAAGAGACUGGACCAACCCUAGCAUGGCUUCUGGCAGCCCAAAGCGGCAUCCCUGGGACCACCUGGCCACCCUUUGAGUUCCUGUCUGAAAAAGCUCAAGGCCGUCAAAAUCAUUUAGUGUUUGUUCCUACCAACACCUGACAACAGGCCUCUGACCACCCCCUCACUUUCUUAGAGCAUUUACGUUAAAAACACUUAGAGUCGUACCUCCUUCCCUUGUCCCUUUGAGAUGUACAUGCAUGUGUGUCCAGGAGUGUCUUUCUCAAGAGCCUGAGAGCCAGUCCUUUGAAAUGGCAUCAUCAGGAAGGAUGGGGCCUGUCUCCCAGGCUCUGGGGGAGGCCAGAACCUAACUUCCAUCACUGCCAGCUGGCACACACAGCUGGCCCGGCCACAAUAACACAGACAGCCCUUUGUAAUUUUUCACUCCCAUGAUUCCUGAGCCCUGGAAUGCCCUUUCCCGACUCCUACGUUCUCCCAUUAAACUGUCCAGUCCCCCUGCACAGAUCUGAAUGGAGCUCAGCUUCUCCCCUGUCAGUGGUUAAUGAAUAAGGUCUGUUUUCGUAGCUUUAACUAAGGUCCAGCUUAGUUUAUCUUUGACAGACCUACUUACCCUGCAGGUUCCCACCUCGGGCCUGGAGGGAAAGCCUCUGGGAGGAACACGGUCCUCACCAAAGGGUGGGAGACCAGAUCGUGCCAGGGAGUGGAGUGGACAUGAGCUCUGGGACCCUCUCCUCUCUCCCGGAAUGGCUGCACAGGAAGGAAGGAUGGAAGAUGUGAGAAAGGCCACCCUGCCUGGGAAGGAGCUACCAGCCCUCAGCAGUCCAGAGGCUGCCCAGAGAGCAGCGAGCAGCUCUCCAGGACUCCACCUCCCAGGCCCAGAGGAUGCCACCCAGGGGGCUCAGUGAGAAUUCAGCCACAGCCACACACAUCCCGGGAGAGUGUCUAAAGAUGCCACCAAUCCAAUAUCACAGAAGGCAAGAACCCAAAGAGCAGAAGCCGAGACAAGGAAGUAGCCAUUUUGGAUACAUGCCCCCCACCCCAAUCCUGGGCCAACGUGGAUCUUCAGCAUCCUGAACCUGAAGCCCCCAUGGUGGGCCUGUGGCGGGCUGGGUGUGGCUUCAGAGGUGCAGCGGCAGGAACUGGCAGAGUGGUUCCCCCAGGCCCAGGGCUGACCCACAGCGACAUGGGAAAAUGGGCCCAGUAGGUCCCUCCUUGUUUAGCUCCCUUUGGUCUUUCCAGGUCCAGCUUCACUGGGUCCACGGGGUCCCCAUCCUGAGGUCACUGUGUUUCUCACCCCCCACCUGCCCACUCGCUCCCAGCCCACUGCAGUCUGACUUUACUGCCCAUCACCAAAGAUGCCAGCUGACCUUGACUUCUUGGGGGUAGAGGACAAUGGGGGUCUGUGUUACCUCAACCACUCUCUCCUGUUGAACCUCUCAUCCUCCUGAGUGACACUCACCUGGUUGUCUUCCGGCUACCUGCAACCUCCCGGCAUCCUCCACAGGCCACCUUCACCCACCCACCCCGUGAACUCACACUCCUUGGGGUUCUCUUCUGGGUUUUUCUCACUCUGAACCCCCUGAGCAACCUGCACCCCUCAGGGAUCACCGGUUAUUUAUGCCGAUGGCUCCAACUCUGCCUCCUGCAGCCUCAUCUUCCUCCUGACCAUCCGCCCCACCGCCCAGCCAGCCACUACCUACACUUCCACGGGGUGCCCUGGACACACACGACUCACCAGGAAACAAAGGAACACCUCAGCUCCCACAGCCACUCUCAGACCUGCCCCUGCUGCACUCCCCACCACGGGCAGCCUCGGUCUCUAUGGGUCACAGCCAAGCAGCUCCCCCCUCGCUUCUCUGUCCUCACCACUUCCACCAGGGGCCCUAAUAAAGAUGUCAAACCAGCCUGCCGUCCACUGUGCAGCUUGUAGAGAUAGAUAAUGCUAGAAAUCCAGUUGGCCAUGUCACGGCCCUGCUUUAAAUCCCUUUCACGGCUCCCAUGGCCCUUGGGAUCCAUCCAAGCUCCUCAGCUGGCUUUCCGCCCUCAGUGCUCUGGUGCCUCCAUUGUGCGUCUUCCAGUCCCGCCCCACCCUCCUGUCCCUCCAGGGAAGUUCUUUCAGCUCUGCCCUGGGCUACAGGCUGGGCUGGAGGGCUGGGCUCCCUCUGCCCACUUCCCCACUGGACCUGCAGCGAGAUGUGCUGGCAGAUCCCAGCCCUAGGCUAUUUCAUGAAGGAGGCUUUGAAGCCUCUGGCGACCUGCUUCACUGCAGGAGUCCUGCACUGUGUCCUCUGGGGCCCAGACGAGUGGUGCUCAAAGCUGCACUUGAACAAGUCCUCGGUCUUCCUGCCAGGCCUGGUUCUCCGCCGAAUCCGGGCAGUCAGCAGGGGGCCGGAUUUUCCUCCAGAUCUCAGGAAAGUAGUCCUGGAUAUCUGUGUUCAUAACUGCAGCUCCCAGAAUCCUUCCCUGCUCCCCUCCCCAGACCCACCCACUGGAGAAACAAGAAUCAGGUGGGCGGGGCAGGGGACCUGCACACAGGCAGAGGCCAGGGCUUUGUCACCAAACAGUAAUCUUUUCAUCACCAUUAUUUAUUAUAUAUGAACCAGGUUUUCAGCACAAGUCACACUCAACACCCUUACCCAACAGGAGGGGCGACGGAGGCUCAGAGAGGGAGUGUAGGGGGAGGAUGUCAAUGGGAGGCCCCAGCCUGAGCCCUGAGCAGCUGGCCAGCCAGGAACUGGCAUGUGAGUGAGAGGCAUCCUAUUCUCCUGCUGCUCCAAAGACAAUGCCCGCUGAACAGGAUGGCAGGCCACAUCAGCAGUCCAUACAGAAGUGAGGCUGUCGUUUCUUCCCCUGGAGCACCAGUGAGGACAGGCCCCAGCUGGGAGCCAGGCAAGGUGGGUGAGCUCUGUGCUAACCACACUGGGAGCUCGGGUAAGCGUGAGGGCAAGGCUGGAGAGGUCCGGGACCCCUGCGUGUUGCUUCCCACUCCUGCCAGGCUGGCACGCCCCCAUUCUUCACCAUCCCUAGCACAGAGCCCAGGGCCAGGGGGCAGAGGGCGGGGCUGGCUCAGGAGCAGGGCUGGCCCGUCCCAUAGCGCCACUCACAUUGCCCCUUCCCCUCUCUCAUCCCAGCUCUGGUCACUUAGAUGCUGCCAUGAGAGGCUCUGAAAUCCACCCCCACUGCAGCCAAAAGCCCAAGUCAGAGCCAAACCUGCACUGUGCUCGGACUGACAGGCUGGGGUCGGGGGAGGGAAGACAUCCACUGAGGGAGGUCCAGGUGGCAGGAGGCGGAACAGGAUACUCUGAGGAGACACAGCAAAGGGUGCCAACAUCUAGGACUGAGGCCAUCUGGACCCACAUGACUAUGUUGCUUUUUGUGUGUGAAUGUUUCUCUGCUUCAACAUUUUCAGAAAUUUCACAUCUAGACGUGUCAGAAAAUUAACAAUUCCAUGCCAGAGAAAAGGCCUUGCCUAUAACCCAAUAGAGGCCCCCCCAGUUCCCAGCAGGAUGGUGGCAGAGCUGCUGACUGGGCACUGACUCCCCCGCCUGGGCCGGAGCACCCUCUCCAUGAGGACACGUGUCCUCCUCAGGAUGGGCUGAGUCCUGGCAUCUGCCCCGUCUGUAAAGGGAAAGACCCCACCCAUACCAGCUCCCCAGCAGCAUCUCCUUGGGAAAGAGGGCAAACUCCAGAGCAGUGCGGGUAUUGGAGCAGGACAUCCCCUCGGCCGCUGCUGUGCCCAGGGCUCCCCAGGGCCCGGGCUGGCUGGGAAGACUGGGAAGACUUCCAGGAACCAGGCAGGCCCUGCGGGUCCGGGUCUCUGGGUGCCAGCAGGAGGGAGCUGGUGACCAGACAUAGUUGUGUGGGGGAGGGUCCGGACGAAGGGGUUGUCAGGGACAGUGGAGCCACAGUCAUUCCGAGAGCUGGGCACCUGAAAAGCACAUCACAUGGAAGGGUCCCGGCCUUGCAGUGGAGACUCCACUGCCCCCAACCCUCCCUGGAAAGCCCCCUCACCCCUGCCCAGAUAGUCCUCAGCUUACCCUUUCCCUCCCUCCGUCCAGGUUAGGGCCCAGGUUAGGGUCUUGCCUUGGGGUGAAGCGCUGUGAGGAUGGGGGAGGGGGGUGCUGGGAGCAUGGUUCCCAUUUCAUCCCUGGCGGCCAACACAGGCCAGGCAGGAAGGGAGUUGAUGUUCAGUCCCCUCCCCACCUUUUCUUUUCAUGAAAUAAAUAGAUGCCUGAAUCCCAACAAGAACUCUAACCAAAUGAAAUCAAAACCAAACCCAGAAGUGCCAUACCAACCCCAUGUGCCUGCCGGAGUGUGGAUGGCUCCCUGGGCCCUUCGUCACCCUGGGAACACAGGCCCUGCCAUCUGCUGGGUUGGCCGCAUCCAAAAUAAUAUGACCGAGGCCUGCCCUGGGUGUGGGAAAGCCUUGUCUUUCCCCUCUUCCCCACCCACACCCCUCGCCCACACAGUACCUGGGUCGGGGGCGGCGGGUCACUCCCACAGGAAGCGCACGUACCAGAUGGUCUCAUUCUUCAGCUGGGGCCCGAACAGGGGGUUCAGCUGCGCCAGGAUGGCGAUGAGCCAGCUGCCAGGGACAGCA